This 454-nucleotide ribosomal RNA is filed under the name uncultured bacterium. RNAcentral describes it as "partial 16S ribosomal RNA". It matches the Rfam family "Bacterial small subunit ribosomal RNA", at positions 28 to 507 of the family's 1533-position model. The record is from RNAcentral.
GAUGAACGCUGACAGAAUGCUUAACACAUGCAAGUCAACUUGAACUUCGGUUUGGGUGGCGGACGGGUGAGUAACGCGUAAAGAACUUGCCUCACAGAUAGGGACAACAUUUGGAAACGAAUGCUAAUACCUGAUAUUAUGAUUUUAGGGCAUCCUAGGAUUAUGAAAGCUAUAUGCGCUGUGAGAGAGCUUUGCGUCCCAUUAGCUAGUUGGAGAGGUAACGGCUCACCAAGGCGAUGAUGGGUAGCCGGCCUGAGAGGGUGAUCGGCCACAAGGGGACUGAGACACGGCCCUUACUCCUACGGGAGGCAGCAGUGGGGAAUAUUGGACAAUGGACCAAGAGUCUGAUCCAGCAAUUCUGUGUGCACGAUGAAGUUUUUCGGAAUGUAAAGUGCUUUCAGUUGGGAAGAAAAAAAUGACGGUACCAACAGAAGAAGUGACGGCUAAAUACAUG